RNAcentral lists this long non-coding RNA (478 nucleotides) under Bos taurus (domestic cattle). RNAcentral's name for it is "long non-coding RNA NONBTAT017507". The record is from RNAcentral. Lineage: Eukaryota; Metazoa; Chordata; Mammalia; Artiodactyla; Bovidae.
UUUUUGGGUGUUCUCCAAAAAUUUGGCUCUUGAGAGUUGGCUUUUUGUCACUCAAACAGAUGCUUUACUCUGGCUCUGCCUGAAGAUGAAAUGCAAGGUGAUCAUAUGACCUAAAGAACUUGUCUUUGCUCGGUCAAUGCUGAUUGUUUACCAGAUAAACUUAUAAAUGGUGGGAGUCUUCUGCCUAACAAGCAAGAUGAUUAACUUUUUAGGGACAUUGUCUUGAUCUAUAUUCAUCAGUAAUUCAUCGUAAUCUUUGGAACAAAUAUUGUACUUUAGCAGACAAAUCACAGUGUGGUAUAUUUGAUCUUUCAUUGUAACUAUUAAGACUUGUCAUUAUCUGUCCUGUGAGAACAAAUAGGACAAAGAUAACUUGGAUCCCACAAAUACUGUUGUCCCUGUCUGAACAUUUUAAGACUGCCUAUCUCUAAGGACUUUUCUCAUGUCAGCACACUAGACUUUCUGCAUUAUCGUUGAA